This 458-nucleotide ribosomal RNA is filed under the name uncultured bacterium. Its description in RNAcentral is "bacterial SSU rRNA". It matches the Rfam family "Bacterial small subunit ribosomal RNA", at positions 29 to 507 of the family's 1533-position model. The record is from RNAcentral.
AACGUACGCUGGCGGCACGCCUAACACAUGCAAGUCGAACGAAGUAGCAAUACUUAGUGGCAGACGGGUGAGUAACAUGUAGGUAUCUGCCCUAUGGCCUGGAAUAACACGAGGAAACUUGUGCUAAUACCGGAUAAGUCUUUACGGAGAAAGCUUUAUGCACCAUUGGAUGAGCCUGCACUUGAUUAGUUUGUUGGUGGGGUAAUGGCCUACCAAGACUGUGAUCAAUAGCUGAUUUGAGAGGAUGAUCAGCCACAUUGGGACUGAGACACGGCCCAAACUCCUACGGGAGGCAGCAGUGGGGAAUCUUGCACAAUGGAGGAAACUCUGAUGCAGCGAUGCCGCGUGAGUGAAGAAGGCCCUUGGGUUGUAAAGCACUUUAGUCAGGGAAGAAAAAGCUCAAGCUAAUAUCUUGAGUGUUGACGGUACCUGAAGAAUAAGCACCGGCUAACUCUGUG